CCAGACAGCCAGGAUGUUGGCUUAGAAGCAGCCAUCAUUUAAAGAAAGCGUAAUAGCUCACUGGUCGAGUCGGCCUGCGCGGAAGAUGUAACGGGGCUAAACCAUGCACCGAAGCUGCGGCAGCGACGCUGAUGCGUUGUUGGGUAGGGGAGCGUUCUGUAAGCCUGUGAAGGUGUACUGUGAGGUAUGCUGGAGGUAUCAGAAGUGCGAAUGCUGACAUAAGUAACGAUAAAGCGGGUGAAAAGCCCGCUCGCCGGAAGACCAAGGGUUCCUGUCCAACGUUAAUCGGGGCAGGGUGAGUCGACCCCUAAGG
Molecule: ribosomal RNA, 313 nt
Filed under: Escherichia coli
Lineage: Bacteria; Pseudomonadati; Pseudomonadota; Gammaproteobacteria; Enterobacterales; Enterobacteriaceae
Description: bacterial LSU rRNA
Rfam family: Bacterial large subunit ribosomal RNA
Source: RNAcentral